UGGGGGAUAUUGCACAAUGGGCGAAAGCCUGAUGCAGCGACGCCGCGUGGGGGAUGAAGGCCUUCGGGUUGUAAACUUCUUUUGCUCUGAACAAGGCAUGCUAAUGGGUGUGUUGAGUGUAGGGGUUGAUUAGCGCCGGCUAACUACGUGCCAGCAGCCGCGGUAAUACGUAGGGCGCGAGCGUUUUCCGGAAUUAUUGGGCGUAAAGGGCUUGUAGGUGGCUGGUUGCGUCUGUCGUGAAAGCUCAUGGCUUAACUGUGGGUUUGCGGUGGGUACGGGCUGGCUUGAGUGCAGUAGGGGAGGCUGGAAUUCCUGGUGUAGCGGUGGAAUGCGCAGAUAUCAGGAGGAAUACCGGUGGCGAAGGCGGGUCUCUGGGCUGUUACUAACACUGAGGAGCGAAAGCAUGGGGAGCGAACAGG
Molecule: ribosomal RNA, 419 nt
Filed under: bacterium
Lineage: Bacteria
Description: partial 16S ribosomal RNA
Rfam family: Bacterial small subunit ribosomal RNA
Source: RNAcentral